This is a long non-coding RNA of Helicoverpa armigera (cotton bollworm), 1752 nucleotides long. RefSeq lists it as uncharacterized. The transcript has 3 exons. The record is from RefSeq and is a predicted model, not a curated record. Lineage: Eukaryota; Metazoa; Arthropoda; Insecta; Lepidoptera; Noctuidae.
GUCUGCGACUUUCCCCCUCCACCGGAACCCUUGUUAUCGUUCGAGUCGUCAUUAGACACCGCCACGUUUAUGUCCUUGUACCUGAUGUUAUCAGUAGGCAGUACCGUAUAGUUUAGGUACAUAGAUUACGUCACUGACGCGCACGCGCACGCGCGGCAAUCGACGUUCAAACAGCAUUAGGUACUCGACAUCGAAUCUUAGAAAAGUGCCAACAUUUCCUGGAACAAACAUCAUUACUGCAGCAGCAAAAAGGAAAUGGGCGCGGGCCGCUUUGCACGGCGAAUAUCAAUGACAUAAUCCGUUGCGCUCUUGUUAUCGUCGGCGUUCCAGUCAUAUUAGAACCCAGUGGCCUGGCACUCGAUGAUGGCAAUAGACCAGAUGGUGUGUCGUUAUUUCCGUGGAAGAUGGAAGUUCGUUAGUAUCGGACGUGACCUGACUGUGUCGAUACUCUUGCACCAUCCCACCUUCCUAGCUCGGCGCGAUGAACUGGUUCCGCUGCUGCGGCUGCAGAGAACCUCCAACCCUGGCAGAGCUCAUCUGCUUUAUAAAGCUCCGGCAAAGCGACUUUCUGACACUUCAAGGGACCCAAAGGCUGUUUUUUUUUUGUCAAAAAUUAAGCAUUGCCAUCCACCAACGUGGCAAUGCUGCCAGCCUCUCGGGUACACUACCGGUGGGCAGUGAUGAGGAGUUUUUAAUGCCAUUUUAUAAUGAUUAUUAUUGUUUUAAGUUGUAUACAGAGUAUUCCGUACCCAAUCACAUUAAAAUUAAAUAGGUUAAUAUAUUUGUCGAUAAUAUGUCGAUUAAUACAAAGAAAAAAAAUUAAAUACAUUUCAAACAAAGCAAAUAAAAUAAAAAUGUCCGAGAAUUAGAAUACCAUCAAAGAAUACCAUGUAAGAAUCAGAUUAACAACGUAAAUUCUCCCUUUAAAACUGACAGCUGUCAACUGGUCAAAACAUUCGAUACUCCUAACUUUAUCUUUUCUUUGCUUUAUACACAUGAUGUUGUAAAUUAUGAAAACCACCGAAUGGAUUAGGUUAUUUUUUUACAAUUCGCCAUAGAAUAUCAUAAAUGUGAUACAAUUUAAUAUGCUUAGGUAUGUAUAGUCUGGCCAACGAAAGCUGACCACGAAUUAUUUUCUAAACUUUUAAUAUGGCAAUAUUUUAGAACUGUCAAAAUGUCCCAUUGACGUUUCUUAAUAAAGUCAGUUUGUUAUUUUAUUUCAUCUUAUUUUCAUUGGUUUUGUAUAAAAUAAUGCCGAAAACAAUCAAAAGUUCGACGAGAAAGCUUCUAUUUACUAUGAUUGACUAAUAUAAAGACGUACAAAGUGAUUUGAAUCAGAAGUUUGCAGAGAAAAUACGACGACUGUAUUCAGUCAUUUCACUUUUAGAUAAUAUUGACGAGGACAACGACUACGGGGAAACAAAACUUACAACUGCGGAAAUUGUAAAGAAAUUAAAAUAUCUAUUCCAUCAAAUAAACGUUUUGUAAUAACUUUUUUUUUAAUUCAUCCCUGUGGACUUCAAUGCAUGCAGAAGUUAAAAAAUGCCAUACCCUGGCUAUGCUAUGGCAUUUUUUAAUAAUGUUAUUACAGUCGUAAUGUUCUGAUAUGAAAGACAUAUAAAUAUCGCUUAUUAGUUUAGAAUAAUAAUAAGUAUCAACUCCGUUUAAGCAGCGUAUAGCCGGGGUUGCCAGCUCUUGAUUUUUUAAAAUUGCCGCCUUUUUUCGUGGACAGCUUUCGUUGGCCAGACUCUA